CUCUGGUGUAGGGUAGAAAUUCCAUGUAGUUUGUAACUAUAUUAACACAGGUCAAUAAGCUUAUGACAUAGGAGCCAGCUAUAGUUAUACUGGUUAGUUGUUGAAGUACAAUUAUCUCCUUGCACCUAUCUUCGCUUAAGUGAUAAGUUAAACAAAAGGGGUAUCAAAUUAUAUUUACUCAGACUUAGUACUGGAUCAUUGAACUUCUGGACUCCCCAUUAGCUAAAUUGUAAGCUUCUUGAAGGACAGUGAUAAAGAAUCUUGAUUUUAGAGUUGGAAGGUAUAUUUUGAAGAAUGGGAGAAGUAAUGAAGAAUUAGAGAAAAGCUAAUCUUCAUUCUAUGGAUUUAGUUGGGAAUGACAUUCACAAGAGUGAGAACCAAAGAAGAAAAGAGGAAGAUGGUGAUGGGAGUAGAAGAGGAUUCAUCAUCUUCACUGAGUGACUAGAAAAGACGCUUACUUCUCUGGGUCACAGUUUAUUGCAUUAAAUGGAAAAGAAAAUGAAUCUUUUUAUAAUGUCAUUUACAACAGUAUUUAAUAUUUGAAAAAUCACAACUUCCUUUCUUUAGAUAACUCUAAAAUCCCUUCCAACUUUACAGUUCUAUGAAUUCAUCAGGAUAGUAAU
Molecule: long non-coding RNA, 623 nt
Filed under: Sarcophilus harrisii (Tasmanian devil)
Lineage: Eukaryota; Metazoa; Chordata; Mammalia; Dasyuromorphia; Dasyuridae
Description: lncRNA (ENSSHAG00000031030.1)
Source: RNAcentral